This 867-nucleotide ribosomal RNA is filed under the name Bacillus amyloliquefaciens. Its description in RNAcentral is "bacterial SSU rRNA". It matches the Rfam family "Bacterial small subunit ribosomal RNA", at positions 42 to 890 of the family's 1533-position model. Lineage: Bacteria; Bacillati; Bacillota; Bacilli; Caryophanales; Bacillaceae. The record is from RNAcentral. RNAcentral also lists the same sequence under 2 other names.
GCGUGCCUAAUACAUGCAAGUCGAGCGGACAGAUGGGAGCUUGCUCCCUGAUGUUAGCGGCGGACGGGUGAGUAACACGUGGGUAACCUGCCUGUAAGACUGGGAUAACUCCGGGAAACCGGGGCUAAUACCGGAUGGUUGUUUGAACCGCAUGGUUCAGACAUAAAAGGUGGCUUCGGCUACCACUUACAGAUGGACCCGCGGCGCAUUAGCUAGUUGGUGAGGUAACGGCUCACCAAGGCGACGAUGCGUAGCCGACCUGAGAGGGUGAUCGGCCACACUGGGACUGAGACACGGCCCAGACUCCUACGGGAGGCAGCAGUAGGGAAUCUUCCGCAAUGGACGAAAGUCUGACGGAGCAACGCCGCGUGAGUGAUGAAGGUUUUCGGAUCGUAAAGCUCUGUUGUUAGGGAAGAACAAGUGCCGUUCAAAUAGGGCGGCACCUUGACGGUACCUAACCAGAAAGCCACGGCUAACUACGUGCCAGCAGCCGCGGUAAUACGUAGGUGGCAAGCGUUGUCCGGAAUUAUUGGGCGUAAAGGGCUCGCAGGCGGUUUCUUAAGUCUGAUGUGAAAGCCCCCGGCUCAACCGGGGAGGGUCAUUGGAAACUGGGGAACUUGAGUGCAGAAGAGGAGAGUGGAAUUCCACGUGUAGCGGUGAAAUGCGUAGAGAUGUGGAGGAACACCAGUGGCGAAGGCGACUCUCUGGUCUGUAACUGACGCUGAGGAGCGAAAGCGUGGGGAGCGAACAGGAUUAGAUACCCUGGUAGUCCACGCCGUAAACGAUGAGUGCUAAGUGUUAGGGGGUUUCCGCCCCUUAGUGCUGCAGCUAACGCAUUAAGCACUCCGCCUGGGGAGUACGGUCGCA